Cyprinus carpio carpio is the source of this 606-nucleotide long non-coding RNA. The record is from Ensembl. Lineage: Eukaryota; Metazoa; Chordata; Actinopteri; Cypriniformes; Cyprinidae.
CGCCCUUCAACGAAAACUCAAGAUCUUCACAAUUUAACAUCGCAAAGGCCUUUAGAUUAGGCAUACCAAAUUUGGUGUUGAUCUGAAUAAAUCUCUAGGAGGAGUUCGUUAAAAUACAAGGCAUGCAAAUGACAAAAAUGAUGCAAAAUUUGCUCAUAAAAUUAAAAAUAACCGACUUCCUGUUGGGUUUCGGAUAUUGCUCCAAGAGUCUUUUUUGUAGGUACUGAUGCUUUACAUAUGUGUGUCAAUUUUCGUGCAUGUACGUGAAACACAGCUCGAGGGCUGUUGAUUUUUUUACGAUAGGUGGCGCUGUCGAGCCAUUUUGCCACACCCUCUUCUGAAACCUAUAUCAGACGUAAAUUUUCACCAGGUCUGACGCGUGUGCAAAGUUUCAGGACUUUUCGAGCAUGUUUAGGCCCUCAAAAAUGCGAUUCAUUUUGGAGAAGAAGAAGAAGAAGAAGAAGAAGAAGAAGAAGAAGAAUAAUAAACAAAGCAGAUACAAUAGGGUCCUCACACCAUCGGUGCUCGGGCCCUAAUAAAUAUAGCUGCAAGCAGCAAUGGCGGGCUCAAGCCAUCAGCGCAAACGCCACCCCGGUGGCAUCAGGU